Molecule: non-coding RNA, 618 nt
Organism: Nicotiana tabacum (common tobacco)
Lineage: Eukaryota; Viridiplantae; Streptophyta; Magnoliopsida; Solanales; Solanaceae
Source: RefSeq, a predicted model, not a curated record
UCAUGACUUAAUUUGUAUUAACGUAUUUUGGUUUGUGUAAAGAGUAAUUCUAAGAUUGAGAGAUAAAGUCUCUCUCACCCCACAACCAUUUACUUUUCAAAAGGAAAAAAAGACUUCUAUUCUGGUUAUAUCUGAGCACAUAUUUUUCAGGUGUUUAAUUUAGUUAAGAAUGCCAUGUAUAACAAGUCGAGCAAAUGCAGAUGGAAGUCGACUUUGAAAACAACUACUUAAUUUCCACAUUUCAUAAAAAAUAUAUAGGUAGAGUGCUUAUAGCCUUAUGGUGGACUAGAACUACAGAAAUUUGGGUUUGAUGUAUUUUCAGGAACAACAAAUGGUAAUGUAUGUGCAUAGAAAAUCAAAUAUGUACAAAGAGUUGAACUGUUAGAUACUGAUAGCUGCCUCUUUUGGUGGUGUCUACACUGCCGUUAUCAUCGAAGACUGCAAAGAAAACUGAUCAUAGCAUUAUGAAUGCAUCACAUGUUGUCUCUAUGUAAAUAAUAUUCUCAUUGAUGUAAAGAAUUUGUCAUCUUCAACCAUGCAACAUCCAAGAAUGGAUAUUUUGUUUCUAUAUGGAUGUAAAUAGUUGUGACGAUCAGGCCAGCCGUCUCAUGAGUUACC